GACGGGUGCAGUGGCACAUGCCUGUAGUUACAGCUACUCAAGGUGGAGGAUCAUUUGAGUCCAGGAGUUCUGGGCUGUAGCGCUCUAUGCCAAUCGAGUGUCUACACUAAGUUUAGUACCAAUAUGGUGACCUCCUGGGAGUGGGGGACCAUAGGGUUGCCCAAGGAGGGGUGAACCAGCCUAGGCUGGAAACAUAACGGGUUAGAACUACCAUGCUAAUCUGUAGUGGGAUCAGGCCUGUGAACAGCCACUGCACUCCAGCCCGGGCAACAUAGUGAGACUGU
Molecule: signal recognition particle RNA, 284 nt
Filed under: Carlito syrichta (Philippine tarsier)
Lineage: Eukaryota; Metazoa; Chordata; Mammalia; Primates; Tarsiidae
Description: Metazoan signal recognition particle RNA (ENSTSYG00000037261.1)
Rfam family: Metazoan signal recognition particle RNA
About the family: The signal recognition particle (SRP) is a universally conserved ribonucleoprotein. It is involved in the co-translational targeting of proteins to membranes.
Source: RNAcentral